Molecule: long non-coding RNA, 6713 nt
Organism: Columba livia (rock pigeon)
Lineage: Eukaryota; Metazoa; Chordata; Aves; Columbiformes; Columbidae
Exons: 2
Source: RefSeq, a predicted model, not a curated record
CGUCAGGUCAGUCGGGCGGGCGGUCGCGGGGGCGGUCGCGGGGAGGCCGGCGCAGGAGCGUCCUGCCGAUCGGCCGAGGAAACCCGCGCGCGGGUAAGGCAGGGAGGCAGGCGGGGGCCGGGACGGGGAGACGGAGACGGGGACGGGGACGCGGUGUCUCUAUGUAUUCGGAGAAGAGAAGCCCCAGCUCUCCGGGGGGAGGCAAAGCCGGCAAAGCGAAAGGCGGCGGCGGCGGCGGCGGGGGGACACCCGCGGCGAGCGGCGCUUCGGGUCGGUUUCUUCUUCAGCCCGCGGCCGGGGCGGGCAGCGGGGCGAGCGAGCGAGCCACCGAGGAAGAAGCGCGGGAGGCGGCAGCACGGGCAGCAGCUCUGUGCUUCUCCAUGGGGCUUUCAGAAAAUACAGAUGCUGUAGGACAGGCUUGCAUCCUGGAGGGAAGCUCACACCUUGGAAGGAAACCUCAACAAGACAGCCAAGAGUCCUAAUGAUGGCAUUUGAUUCAGGGAGACUCAGCUCAUUCCCCAGCCCCACAGACUGCAUUGCCCACAGUCCCACAGGUCACAGCAAAGCUGGGACACAUGUUCCCAUGGACACACCUGCAGGAAAGUGUGGAGGGGUUUUGAUAGAUAAAGAUUUGUUGCUGAAUUAGGCAGGCUCAAAGGAACCUACAGGCCGCUUCGAGAAGCUGAGAUCAGAAUCUGCUGUGAGAAAGAGGGGCGUUCCACAAUCACCGGGGUCCUGGCGUGGCGUGAAUCAUCGGACGUAUCAUCAGUGAGACUCCAGUGCAUGGACAGCCCAUGAUACUCAUUUAGCAAAUCCAUGCUUGGAGCGUGGACGCAUGGUUAGAAUAUAGUUGCGUAUAUAAGGAGACUUGUUUCUGUAAUAAAUGGCUUUAGCGUGAUUCACAUUGAAUCAAAUUGUUUGCUGAGUCCUUUAUCGCUCCAACAAAUGGUGACUCCGACGUGAUACUCUGAACGGCGUACCACUGACGUUGGGGAAAAGCCUGGAGCGGCCCAGCCGCAGGCGGAUCAGCUGGACUGAGAACCAGGCGGAGGCGUACGGACGUUUCGCAUUAAUUUUAUUGAAGAAGGCCCCGGAAAAGGUGAGUGGCUGGGAGCAGGAGGAGGGAAGUUAUGGAGCAAAACAUUUCCUCAAGGAAGAAGCUAUAGUUAAACUCCUCCUGCAUAUUCUCUCUAUGAGAGGAUUUAAAUAGGAAGAAAGUAACAUAUGUAGACUAUUAAUUUGGUGUAGAAUUAAUGGCUACCCGAGAGAAAACGAGAAGGCUUUUAAACAUUAACUUUGGGAUGAUAAAGGGCAGAAAUUAUGGAAUAAGGUCAGCAAUGGAGAUGAUAAAGAAACUAAAUCGUUAGCGACUACAUGGAAGCUUAUAAUUUCCACCUUAAAAGACUUUAAGGCUGAGUGGGCUGCCGUUGCCGGAAUUUUUCUGGCGUUGCAGUCUGAUAACAAACCUAAAAAUGACUGUGAAGUUUACCCGGAUUGUGUCUUUCGACCCUUUCCCUACUCCAUCCCCUGUUGUGCCAUCGACACCCCCAAUGAUACAGCAGUCUGGGGCGGAGGGAGGAAAAUUACCGAGUGGAUGGACUCCUAUACCAUUACCCGACUCUAGAGAGAUCAAGAAGUCCAAAGGACUGGAGUCAGACAAUUUGUCAAAAGUACUGGUGAAAGCUGAGAAUGCUAAAGUCAUAAAUAAGUGUAAUAUCAGUUCUUUUACUGAUUCGUGUCCACCCUUACCACCUUCUACCCUUCUAACUCCUACAAAAGAUCAGAAGGAGUUGCUGGAUAAGAACUGGGCAAAAGAACUGUGUGAAAGAUCAGAUCAGCUAUUAGCGAGUGAAUCCAACAGUCAGCAACGCGGUCAUGCUGAUCGUGACGGGACUCAGGUCAUAUGAAUAAUUAUGAUGCUAGAAAGUAUUGCCGAGAAUGUGCAGUGUUCCAAACCCCCCGGUUACUAGUGAUUCUCCAGCACCGUUCAAGUCCAUGUUAUCUGAUGACGCGGAAGAGGAUGAGGGUUUGAAGCAUUUUUCUUGAAAAGUUAAGUAUGUGUACGAGUUGCCCCGAGAUCAGAUAAGAACUAUGAAAAACUCAAGCAAAAUUAGACGUAUCCAAUGUAACAGCUAUAGACCAUUUAGGACAGAACAAUGGGGAUUCGUUGGAAGGAGCAAGUAUCCCACAACUCCUGGAAGAGACACUAAUUGACACACCACAACUACAGACACGAUAAGUUUCUGAAAUCCUGAGGCAGUCAACAGACCUUGCAUAUCAAGCUAUGAGAAAGGUGCCUGAAACCAACAAAGCAGCCAAAUCAUUUACAACUAUUAAUCAGGGUCCCAAUGAGAACCACAUGCAAUUUAUUGACCACCUUCAAGAGCCCAUCAGUAAGCAGGUCGAAAACUUAGAAGCUAAGGAAGCACUAGUGUUGAGAUUAGCAGUAGAGAAUGCUAAUGUUUGCUAUCAACAUGUUAUUUGCAAGUUUUACAGUACAUAUUAUGUGCUCCUGUGUAUUGCCUCUCUAAAAAUCAAGCAGCUUGUCCGCAAUGUGAGUUAAUUGUUUUGCUAGUUGUUUUUAAGUGCUCUGUAAAACCUUCUGCCCACUUUUCCCACUCACACUGCAAGCAGCCCUGUGCCUUCCUCCCCUCCUCCCCCUCCCUCCCUCUUCUCAAGGUUUUUACUUGCAAGAUAGGGUCAAGAAUUAUUGUUUCCAGUUGUGUUCCUAAAAAAUCAGUAUUGGGAGGUGUUUUAAAACUUAGGAAAGCACUCAGAAUUAUAAGGAAGGAAGAUCUUGUUAAAUAUUGAAAUCAGUGUUGGCUGCUGUAUAAGUUAAAUGAUUGGGAAAAGUGUCCGGAGAAUAGAAUCUUGUUGCGAUUAAUGUUGUUUUUGAGGCCAGAAGAGCAGGACGAAAUAAAUCUCUACAAGAAAUCAUUAAAUCAUUUCAGACAGUUUCACAGGUGGGGCGAUUUGAACUUCAACAAGCUGAGAGAGUUAACUGAUAACACACAGGUCAGAAAACUUGUUAAAGUCUGCAAGAUGCUUUCCUUAUUAACCUGUUUUCUUUGUGGGUAUCUGUUUAAGCAUGUUGCAAUUUUGGUAGGCCUUUGCUACAUGGUACGAUAAGUUCGCAGUCUGUUAAAUCAUGAGAAUCCGUUGACUCAAAAUGUGCAUUUUGUGAUAAUACAGAAGAUCAUGAGUAAUUUAGUUCUUUACUGCGUGAAUGUGAUGGUAAAAUUUUGCGUGUAGUAGCUGUUAUUUUUCUCUCCAGCAUGCUACCUUUAAUCCAGCAUUCAGACUUGCGCAACUCUGUGACAGGCUGUGUCUCAUCUCGGUGUGGUGGAUUUGGCUUUUCCAUGUGUACACCAUGGAAAGAAUCCUGGUUUUGGAACAACAGCUGUAGCGCACCAGAUGAGACACUAAAAAACCAAAACAAACCACAAGAAAACAAAACAAAACAAAAAAAGGCCUUGCCCAGUCCAGCUCGCUGCAGUGGCUGGGGGGGUGGGUGCUGAUGGGGCUCCAGCGCGCACUGACCUAUUUUGUCGGGGAGACCCAGAGGUACCUCCACCUGGCUGAGCAGUAAGCGGCCCAGAGGUGCAAUGCAAAAAUUGAGAUAUUGUCUUAAAUUAGUGUGACUGUGAUCCAUCUGCAUAUUUGAACUGGGUAUUUGGUUUUCACAUCUGAGCUCAGUAUUUUAGUUUGCAUAUUUAUAUUUGGUACCAAAAGAAUCUUGUUUGGGGAGAUAAUUACAAAAUGGGAACCGGUUCCGCUGCUAAAAUUCCACCUUGCCCCCCCCCUUAGGAUGCAUCCUUACAUAUUAGAGUAAUUGCUUAUAUUGUUAGAAAAGCAUUUAAAUUGUUAAAAUGCUAUGAUAGAUGUGAAUUUGGAAGAGGUAUUUAAAAGUUGCUAGAAUAUUAACUGAUUUGGAUCUAGGAAAAUAGAAUAAUGGAUUUAUGUUUGUUAUACUGGUUUAUACUGUUUUUUGACAUCUCUAAAUUGUAAAAGGUAAAUGGAGCUAAGGAAUGUAACUAUUGCUGAGCUACUUGAAAUUGCAUAUAAAGUGUAUUAUGGCUGGAAUGAAAUGGGAAAACAAAAGAGCAAAAUAUCCCAGGCCUGUGUGCAGGUCAUUGUAACUGAGAAGUUUCCCAGAGCCUCCUACUUCGUACCAGCCAUUAUGCCAGCUGCAUGACCUUGGUUAUAUCUACACUGCACAGAAAGAAAAAACAACUGGAAAAACCUGGCUGCCCGCUUUUAAAGCAGUGAAAGGGGGGUUCUCUCUCCCCCCACUGCAGCGGUGUAAUACUGAAUGGAGCAGUCUGAGGGUGAAGUUUAAAGGCAUCCUUAGCAGACCCAUAGUUCUAAUGAAACUGGACAAUUAAACCAAAAAUUUGUUGAUAGACUUAUUCUGAGGUAAUUAGUUGUAAGAGACUUCUUAGUAAAUUCACCAUGCUAGUUUUUGAGGUCAUGUGAGAGAAUGAAAGAAAGGCCAUUUUUGGAGACCAAUAGAAUGCCAAAUUUGGAACAAAGUUUUAACACAUGAAUUCUUAUAGUUGCCAGAAAGUCCUAUACCUCUCUUGGGUCAGGAUUUGUUAAGUAAAUUGUAAGCUCAAAUAACGUUUUCUGAGAAUCCUGUUUAGUUGCAUGUCCUACAAGAAGCUGCUUGGAUGGCGCAGAUCUGCUUGCUGCAAGGGAGAAAUCUCCAAGGAAAUUUCAAAUGCAGUAUUUCCACUAGUAUUAACAGCCAAUGUUUCGAUAAAGCAAAUACUACACUGAGAAAUCUGAAACAGGACUUCGAUCCGGUAAGGGAAAACAAUAUCCAAUAAAUAUGACAGCCAAAAUGGAGUUAGAAACUUUGAGCAAUGAAUUUAUGACAACCUUACAGGCUGACUGCAUUCAAUUGGACUUGCAGGUUUGUCUAUUUAUAUCUACAACACAGAAACAACCUGUGGCUAUUGUGGGACGGUAUGAUGAGAAUGCUAACAGACUGAUAUACCUAUUGUCACUCUAAUCAAGAAAAUGCAGGGAAUGAAUUUAAGUCAUAAUAGGCCAUGAUCCUUUUGUCAUAUAUGUACCAUUUGUGAAACUGAAUUCUGAUUUUUUUUUAUUUGUAAUCCAUGUCUUUGUAAAUUGCACUAGCUGGUUUUCUUAACAGCACAGCUUUUGGCAUGCAUAAAUGUAAAUUGAUGCAGAACCUGCAAGUCUUUAACAUCAGGUCAUAGGCCAUACUUGUAUUUGAUCUGAUCCUACAUACUUGCAAAGUUUUUAUUGCUGGUUCUGGGAAGUCUCAUAAAGCUGUAGUGGUUUGGUGUGAAGAUAACAAUUGGCAUCAUUCUGUAAAAAUUAUUGAAGGUUCAACCCAAUUAGCAGAACUUGGCACAGCUUUACAUUACUUAGAGCUUUUUAAGGAGGAACCUCUAAAUUUGAUUUGUGAUUUUGAGUACGUAGUCAAGAUCCAACGUAUGUAUCUGGUUCUGAACUUUUUUUGUUUUUUGUUUUUAUAAAAAAAAAGGGGGGAAGUAGGGGAAACACCACAAAACCGGUUGUCAAAAGCAUUGUAUGUGGUGAAAUACUUUGCAAGUAUGACCCAAAACCAUGCUAAAUCAGAAAUAACCUACAUUAGUUAUGGUCAAAUUACUAGUCAAUGAGAAAGGCCACAUCAAUUGAUAACCUGGGGAAAAGGUUAUGUUUGUGUCAUUACAGGCUGAGGAUUGAAGUGGCUUCAACAAAGAUUCAAUGGAUGCAGAAGGACAGGAGGGAGAUAGUUGUGGCGACUGUUUCAGAUGUAAACCAUGAAUCCUAAUUCAGUGUUAUAGAUGCUCACAGAUCUGGUGGUCUAGAAGCCUAUUAGCAAGCAGGUGGUGUACCUUCUGUGGAGAAUGGCAAUUUGAACAAUCAGCAGGAGAUCCAAAAGGGUGAUAUUAUGAUCAGAUAGUCAAUGCAUAGAUAAGGUAAAAUUAUGAGAUAUCCCUACCAUAGUAAUCUAAGUUUAGCAACUGAUGAAGUUUUAGAAGGGAUAUUAAGGUUAAGCUAUUGAUCUUUUAAAUAGGUUAAGAUAACUUUUAAGAUAUUAAUUCAAUUAUUAGUAUAUGCUGAUGGUAUUAAGUACGUUACUCUAUAAACUGCGCAGUUAUAAAUCUUUUAGGAAUUUAAGAGAAAAUAUUGUAUUAACUUGUCUGGUUAUUUUGAAUCUAUUAAAAUAGUGCGUUAAUAAGGUUGUCAUAAUAGAAUUAAGGUUUUAAGAAUAGGCAGGUAUUUGUUUGAUCUUACUAAGUAAGGUUUAACUGUAUUAUAUGUAAUUGUAAUUAUGUUGUUAAUCACGUGUUCUGUGUUGCAGUAUAUUUCAAAAAUGAUGCACUGUGUGGUUAAAGGGGCCUGACUAAUUCAAGAACAGAAAGGGGGAAGUGUGCAGGGGUUUUGAUAGAUAAAGAUUUGUUGCUGAAUUAGGCAGGCUCAAAGGAACCUACAGGCCGCUUCGAGAAGCUGAGAUCAGAAUCUGCUGUGAGAAAGAGGGGCGUUCCACAAUCACCGGGGUCCUGGCGUGGCGUGACUCAUCGGACGUAUCAUCAGUGAGACUCCAGUGCAUGGACAGCCCAUGAUACUCAUUUAGCAAAUCCAUGCUUGGAGCGUGGACGCGUGAUUAGAAUAUAGUUGCGUAUAUAAGGAGACUUGUUUCUGUAAUAAAUGGCUUUAGCGUGAUUCACAUUGAA